Molecule: ribosomal RNA, 629 nt
Filed under: Photobacterium damselae
Lineage: Bacteria; Pseudomonadati; Pseudomonadota; Gammaproteobacteria; Vibrionales; Vibrionaceae
Description: partial 23S ribosomal RNA
Rfam family: Bacterial large subunit ribosomal RNA
Source: RNAcentral
CAAGGCUAAAUACUCCUGACUGACCGAUAGUGAACCAGUACCGUGAGGGAAAGGCGAAAAGUACCCCUGUGAGGGGAGUGAAAUAGAACCUGAAACCGUGUACGUACAAGCAGUAGGAGCAGGCUUUGUCCUGUGACUGCGUACCUUUUGUAUAAUGGGUCAGCGACUUAAUUUUAGUAGCAAGGUUAACCAUCUAGGGGAGCCGUAGGGAAACCGAGUCUUAACUGGGCGUCAUAGUUGCUAGGAUUAGACCCGAAACCGAGUGAUCUAGCCAUGGGCAGGUUGAAGAUUGAGUAACAUCAAUUGGAGGACCGAACCGACUAAUGUUGAAAAAUUAGCGGAUGACUUGUGGCUAGGGGUGAAAGGCCAAUCAAACUCGGAGAUAGCUGGUUCUCCCCGAAAGCUAUUUAGGUAGCGCCUCGGACGAAUACUACUGGGGGUAGAGCACUGUUAAGGCUAGGGGGUCAUCCCGACUUACCAACCCUUUGCAAACUCCGAAUACCAGUAAGUACUAUCCGGGAGACACACGGCGGGUGCUAACGUCCGUCGUGAAGAGGGAAACAACCCAGACCGCCAGCUAAGGUCCCAAAGUUAUAGCUAAGUGGGAAACGAUGUGGGAAGGCUCAGAC